Non-coding RNA from Oncorhynchus mykiss (rainbow trout), 11214 nucleotides. Lineage: Eukaryota; Metazoa; Chordata; Actinopteri; Salmoniformes; Salmonidae. The record is from RefSeq and is a predicted model, not a curated record.
ACCCGCCAACGAAACGAAGUAAGUUGUAUUUUCUCCACCUCGCUGCCGUGGAUGCGUUCCAAAAUUCAGCCUAUAAGGUUAUGAAAUAUGAAUAAAGCUACGUAGCAAUAUUAUAGCAAAGUUACACAUGUCAGAAUUUUAGAUGAUCGAUGGCAGUAAUAUGAACGUGGACAGCAGUGACUCGCCGGUGUAAGACACUCCAGAGAGACCCUAUUCUACAUGAAUCAUCACAUCGAGGACAGGUCAAGAUGCAAAAGCGGAACUAUAUGAAAGGGGAAAGGGAGCUUGGUGAUGGUGGACCCCCUUUUUGCUUUAGUUGUGAAAGGGUCUUUCCAGACCAAACGUCAUUUCAUGACCACUUUUGUCCUGCGGCUGGUUUCAUCUGCUCCUGUGGAACAGAGUUCUCCAUGUAUGUUGAUAUGAUGGACCACAGUGGGUUACAUGAACCAGGCCACACUGUAAUUAAUUAUAGCACCAUAAAGAAGGAACAAUAUCAGAGGGAGAGAGAGUACAAGGAGCAGCUUUCGAGGCUGGUAUUGACGGCGGGGCAGGGAAGCUGGGCUAAGCCUGGACCGACUCCGAUGCUAUCGGCCCCUAUUCCACGAGCCACAAAGCCUCCACCUGGUCCAAGUGCCCCAACAACAGACCUCUGGCACCAAUUCCAGCCAGUGGUGUUGGUGGAGACCCUGCGCAAGUUUGGAAGGACAAAGCCCUACAGGUGUGCCUACUGUGAACUGGGCUUUGCAACAAAAGACUUACUCGUAUGGCACCACAACACUCACGCAAGAAAUACAGUCCAUGGCUGCCUGCGGUGCGGGGUUCUCCUGCUCAGUAACAACAAGUCACCACAGCCUGGCCACCACCAGUGUGGCUCAUAUCGGGCAACUCCUGAAACCAGAUUCACCACUGCCACAGUGCUGAGCAACAGGAAACAGCCCGCGGGGUAUGCUAAGAAGGUUGUCCAGCGUCAGCCGUGUCCGGACCCGUUCAGUGGGGAGCUGCAGCUAGGGAUGCAUAUGGUCUCACAGCAGCCCAUUCCAGGGACUUCUGGAACAAAAUACUUGAAGUGUAGAGUGUGUCAGGAGCCCUUCCAAACUGUCAAGCUGCUUGAGAGGCACCGUUGCACAAUGGCGGCAUCCUUUUUUGCACAGGAACUGGGUCUGAUGUCUGGCAAACAGCUCAAUGGUCACAGAAAAGGGGAGGGGACCAGCCCAUACUCCUUGCCUCAAAGCAAUGGUGACCAGGAGCUGGCGUUCAACAUUCAAACUUCAACGAAUGUAACUGUAUACGACCACAAGGCAGUAGGCCCGGAUAGGGGCACAGGGUUGUCUGCCGUUUCUGUAAAGACUGAGGUUUCAGACGAUGACUGUUUUGUGAUUGAGGAUGCGUUUUCGUGCUAGUCGGAACUAGGAAACUCUGAAAUUUCCGACUUGCUAACUGGUUGAACACAGCAUGUGUAUAAAAACCAGUUAGUAAGUCGGAAAUGUCCGUGUUUCCUAGUUCCGACUAGCACGUGAAUGUGGCAUAAAAGCUCCUUCACCAAACCAGGUCAGUUGUUAUACCAACAAUUAACCUCUUCCCUCCCAGUACUACAGACAUGAACAGUGCAAAAAGCAUUCCCAAUGUGAACCCUCUGCAUCUGCCACGGACAUAAACAUCUUCUAUGGGUUAUGGGUAUGGUCCCUUUUUGUAAGGUACCGGCUUAACUCUUAUCUAACUACUCAAUUUACAACUAAUCUGUCAGUAGCCUAGAUUUUAUUUUUUACCUUGAUUUUAUUUUUCAGUUGUGUGUUUGUCAAAUGACAUUGAAAAUGUUACAUAUGCAGUAUCAAAUCAGUCUGUAUGGUUCAGAUAACCACAAACAUAGUUUGUCUUUUGAAAAUGCGCUUGUUUUUUUUACAGUAGCUUUACUGAAAAUGUGGUAUAAGCAGCAUUGGCCAUAUCACAAGAACAUGUUGGUUCUUUCUAGCCAUUUCUCUGGUCUUGGAAUAAAAUAUUUUUUUGUUUCCGCUCUCUCCCUUUCUUUUGUAGCAACUAAAGUGUAAUAAUCUGUGUGUUCUCCGUAUUUCAGGGACCAAAGCAAUAGCAGCAGCCAUAAGUGAUAGCUGGAAAAGGCUAUAAGGACACUCCUGAUCUGCAAAACAUUUAUUUUUCUCCAGAAUUACUUAAAUUAGGUUACGGUUAGAGGUAGGUUUUAAGGUAAGAGACCGUUUUAGAUUUUGGUUAGUAGUUUUACAAGUCAGGGUCUGUUAUAGCCUCUGCCAAGAGAGCGUGAUGGAUAUGUAGGUAAUGUAUUCACUGAUUGCUUGGGAUAGCUCUCUGACAUAGUUUGUCACUUGUGAAUGCACAUAGCAUACAAAAAUAGGGGUUAGUCGUCGUAGAAUAUUUUGCCACCUCAUGAGAAUUGUAUUAUCACUGCACACAGUUUUUGGGUGAACUUGUUAUUUUUUUACCCGGUUGUCCAUCUUUGAUGAGGUAGGCAGGCAUCGCGACACCAUUUCCGGCCUACCGGAUGUUGAGUGAGGAGAAAAAAAACAAUUGAAUCACGAAUACAAUAAGCUAACAUUUAAAAUUAUGGCACACACCACUGUAUCUCAACGUUGGCGAAAACAUACAUGUUAUGUGCAAUGCAUUAUUUAUAAAUAUUGAUAUUUUGUCGGGUUUGGACUACAAAACGGUAUGUUGACAUUAGCUAGCUAGCUUUCAUCACGUCGACAGCUAUCUAACUGGUGAAUCGAGAACAAGUUUGCACUAACACAUUUUUGGGUACCUGGGGACAGUAGUGGGGGUUACCUGGCUAGUUUGUGGUGGAAGAGGAGACGUGUGGUUUGAACAAAAGCUGGUUGAUCGUUCUUGCCUGGGCUGUUAUUGGAGGAUCUACGUUGAACAUUUAUCUUUUCCUCAUCAGUCCCGCCAGAGAGCCUGCCUAAAAAUAAAGACACCAUCUGAAGAGAAGAUCAGCAAGGAGGUAGACAACUGCCAUAACAUGCCCCCAAUGAAGGAGCCCUUACAAAGACCCCAACUACAGAGAGAAAGUAAAAGCCAACAGAACAAAGUGGUAGCUGAACCCUCUGACACACGGUCACUACCAGGUACCCCUGUUUCGGUUGUCCAUCCUAAUUCCAGAAAGGUAAACUCUGGUGACAUUAAUCACAGAAGAAAGCUCACAAAGACCCAGGCAAAUAUGGAGAAAAUGCAUGUUAAUUCACCUGCUACUGGUCAUGGUAGAACUCAAUUUGAAAGUGCCAAUCCUGAAGUGCAUUUAUCACUUACUGGGAGUGAGCAAACAUUGAACUGUAUCACAAAGGAGCUGGUGGGUGUAACAAGGCCAGCAGCGGUAGACGUUAGGAAACGUGGUCGCCCUCACAAGAAGGCAAAGAUGCUGCAUACUGUGCUACAAACAGUGGAGAGUUCUUCUCAUCUGAGCACUGCAGAAUCAAAGGAUUGGAUUGAAACAAUGUCUGACAGAGCGAAUGCUAUUUCUUUUACUACAAACUGUGUAGAAAACAGGGAUGACAUGUCUCUCAGAGCUAUUGAAACAAAAGCAAUACCUCUAAACUGUGAACCAAGCAAUACAGCGGUGUCUGUUCUUGACUUGUCCCCCCAAGACCAUCAACCAGCUGAAUCCAGCCCUGUGGCUAUCUCACCCUUGGAACCAAAAAGAAAAAGGGGACGACCAAAGGGGUCGACCAAGAAACGACCAGGAAAAACCAUGAACACUAUUUCAGUGCAACAAUCCCAUGUAACAGAAGAAAAAAAUGUAAUUAAAAAGGAACCUGAUGAGAUGCUAUCUGAAAAGGAAAAGAGAGGAAACAUUGGUCCUCAGCCUGAGGAAACUCCUGUUGAGCCUAAACACAGAGUAGGACGACCACCAAAGAAAACAACACUCGUGAGGCAGUUUGCAUUAGCACAGAGAAAGUCACAGAGAAAAUCAUGUUCUAUUACAGCAUCUGUGAAUUCUCAGGAUAUUACACCACAACAUCAGAAGAUUGAGACUGAGCGUUCAGAUUAUAUAGCAAGGCAUGUGUCUGUGUCGCUUAGUCGCGUUGAUUCUCAGAGAGGUGGUAGGUCAAGUGGGACUGCUGACAUGAUCUCUAAUGUGAAGUGUGAGGAUAUUGAAAUAGAGCUGGGGGAUUUUAAUUCCCUGGCACAGUCAAAUUGUCUCAUGUCUUUUCAAUGCCAAACUGACACCAGUGUGAAGGUUGAGCCCUGUAAUACUAGUUGUGAAGGCACUGAAUUCAAAAAGCCACUCAAAGUUGACAAAUGCAGAGGAACUGCUGGCACUGCUCCCAGAAAGCGAUCCCGGUUUGUUUUUGGAAAAACUAAAUACAAAAAAGGAAAGAGGAAAAGGUUCAUUGAUGCUAGAGGUAGACUCCAAAGUGUGAUCUCACAGGGAGAUCCAGACACCAUGUCAAAGCAGGUCGAUGAAGGCAAUGGUGAUGUUGGAAAGGAGAUGGACUGUGGCGAGUCAGCUUGGGAGUAUGAGGGCAACACAAAUGACAGCUUUUCAAAUGGAAGUAAGUCAACAGAUGAAGGAUUUAAAGAUUUGCCUGAGAGUCACCAAAAUCCUAUCGUCACUGAUGUAAACAUAUUAGAAACUAUGUCGCAUGAGUCCUUUUCGAAAUCAGAUGUCGUACAAGGUGAAGAAUUUACAAGUAAGAAAAUCAAGAAAGAGAGAGAUGGUGUAGGCGAUGAAACUGAAUAUAACCCAACAAGCAGUUGUCCGAAGGCUAGGGGUCGACCAAAAGGGAGACCAAAAGGCACAGGGAAAACGUGUGAGUACUGCGGACGUCAUUUUGAUUUUGUGUCUGUAUAUACCGUCCAUCUACGCACUCAUACAGGCGAAAGGCCCUAUAAGUGCAUUGAUUGUGACCAAGACUUUGCCCAGCUAUCUAACUUAAAAAGUCAUGUCAAGAAACAUAACAAGCGCUGUCAGCCUCUGAAGUGUCCUUAUUGCAAAAUGAAGUUCAGUAAUUCAGAGGAAUUGCUUGCUCAUUGCAAGUGGCACUCGCAGAACCCGAACCAGGACUCUGAGUCUGGGAGUAAAACGAAGGAUAACAGAAAAGAGGCCACUCAUACACCCCUUGUUUCUCUGAAAGAAAGGAGAAAAAGGGGAAAGGGGGGGAUACUCAAAUGCCACAUUUGUGGGAAAGUAUUUCCCUUUUGGUCUGGUCUGCAGGUUCAUAUACGUAUGCACACUGGGGAAAAACCAUAUAUCUGUAAAGUAUGUGGGAAAGCCUUUAGUAAUCGCUCAUCAAUUCGUAUUCAUGAGGUGACACACUGGUCCAUUAAGCCUUACAACUGCACAUGGUGUGGAAAGAGUUUCACUCAGUUGUCGUCUGCAAAAAAACAUCCCUGCAAGGGUCUGAGGGAGAGUAAUGACAGAGGGAGCCGGAAGAAGCCUUUCAUAUCUUUUACAUGCCACAUCUGCGAAGAGAGAUUUGUUCAGAGGCGUCAGUACAAAACCCACCUGAAAACCCAUGCUGGUGUGAAGCUCUUUCGCUGUUUAUUCUGUGACCAGCUGUUUAGUGUGAUGUCAGAAUUUGAAGAGCACCACCAAUAUUGCACCAAAGUUAGGGGGGAGAAGAUGACAUCCAAAUCUGAAUUUAGGAUUUGGAAACCUAGAGCCCCUAAUCAGCAAAGCUCGCAGCAACCAAGUGUCAAGAGUCAUUCACCAGUCACCCAAUUAGUAUUUCCUGCAGCUGCAGAUAGUCAACCAUUUCAGAACCUUGGACAGAGUUCAGCUUCCUCUGCCUCGUUGCUGAACUGUGAACCUAACUCGCAGCAAAAAAAAAGUGGUCGUCUGUCUUCACAAACACAUCCCAAUAAAGACAUUGCUACAACUCUGCGCCCCUUCCAAACAUGCAUUAUACCUACAAACAAUCUCACCCCACUUGUAUCAAAGUUGAACAGUCUAGAUCGUAAAUCUGACCCGAGGAAGUACUUAUGCCCACGUUGUGGAAGACUUUUCAGACACACAGGAAGACUCCGAGCCCACAUGCUAACUCAUGCCCACAGUCAGAGCUACACCUGUGACUGCUGUGGAAAGACCCUGGAAAGCUGGAAAAAGCUUUGGCUUCACCAGCGAAUCCACAGACAGAAACUAGGACGGUUCUCAUGUCCAAAGUGUCGCCAAGGUUUCCGCUUCGUUGGGCCCUACAAGCAGCACAUGCUGCGAGAACACCCUGAGUACCAGUGGAUCGAUGAGAGACCAAACAAAACUCUCCAAGGACUUGAACAGCAGCAGUGCCUGCCUUAUCAAUGUGAGGAGUGCAACACCAGCUUCAGGACACUAGAUUUGCUUUUCAAUCAUCAGCUUUGCCAUUCCUCACCAGGUGACCACAGUAUGUGGAUACAGGACGACUGCUAUGAUUACUCUCCCUCGACACAUGAACAUGAUGUACCUUCCAACGUGAAUGGAUUUGACCCUCACAUGAACAGUGGAGUAACACACUCCCAUCAGGAACUCCACCAUACCUACUACCCUUCUCCGCCUCUUCAAGCAAACCACCCACGAGGUUCACAUCUCCUUCAUUACUUUUCCAAUCAUUCAGACCUACUACAUUCACUGUCACCCCUUAUACCUGUGCCUCCCCCAAUGCAACACCCAGGUUUCCAACCAGGCCUCCAGUUAUAUGACUCCACCCAGCUGCUCACAAGCCCUCUAUCACCACUGUACUCACAGGUAGAGACCAUUCCAAACCCUGACAGAAAAGAUGGGAAUGUAAACAGGAAGCAGAGUAGAAUUUAUGGGAAUGCGACUAAACGUGCUGCUAGAUCCAAGGAGGACAAGGCGACAAUGGGGGGGUUGGAUUGUGCGGAGUGUGGUGUUCAGUUUCCUGCUGUCUCGCAACUCUAUGAGCAUUAUUUGCAGCAUGCCAGGGGAGAGGUGUAAGAAAUUAAAAUGAGGGACCUUUUUCUAACACAAAGGCACGUUAUCCUCCCAUCUCUUUCUCAGAGGUUUAUCAGUUUAGAAAUGGCUUAUAGGUCAACUAACAAAAGCGGCAUUUUUAACACAUUGUUGUGUUAAAUGUUGUAUGUAUUGAUGUGUUUGAGUGAAUAUUCUGUUGAAUGGAGAUUGUUACUCUGGUUGCUUGUUGGUCGUUAGGGAAGCUGAUUACUUUUGGUUGUUAUUCGAUUUACUUACACUAUGAUCAAUUUUAAGUUGACAGUAUUUUUUUUUUUUUUGGCGGGUGUCCCUUAAUCUGAAAAGAUGGUCAGUGCUUUUAUACAUUUGAGUAGCUGUAGCAGGUUUUGAGACGAGGACAGAUCAUGGCCUGCAAUCUAUUUUUCAAUGGAAGUUUGAGUGUAAAUUGCUAUGCUUGAUCAUGGAACAUUGUCAUACCUCUUUUUGUCAUUGUUAACCUCUUACUACUGUCAGACUCUGAUUCUCAACUGAUGAAAAAUAAUGUUGUAAUUUAGCCUGCCAAUACAAGUGAUUAACAUACCUUUUUAUUUUGUCCAUUUAUUUCAAAGAAAAUUAGAAACCUCGUAUUUUGCAAGUUAGUCAUUUAUUCUAUGGUUAAGUGUUGAUUUGUAACUUAUGCAAGAAAAAUAUUUUCACUGCCAAUACUCUAGUCGUUUUACCUAAUAGGCCUACAUUCCCUCAUGUUUACAGAAAGUUAUUUUGUUUAGAAAAGCAGUUCUUGUUCUGUUGCUGAUGAACUGACAGCUGUUUACAUACUGUAUAUUUUACUUUCUAGUUUCACUCAGUUAUUGUGUCAGAUAAAAAUAAAAGCCACCUUUCUAAUGUUGUGCUUAUUUCAUUUCAGACAUAUAGCCUAGCACAAGUACAUAUGUAGGCCAACAGGACACAUGUCAUAUGGGAUUCACUUGCUGGUUUGAAUUAUUUUGUUGUAGAAUGCCCUUUUGAAGGCACUGUUGACUGUAUUGAAUGGUAAUGUCGUUUGCUCACUGUGGAGAAAAAACUAACUUUCCCCAGAUGAUGGGGAGUCAAUGUAAGAUUUAACAUUUUUCAAGACUUUAACUUUGAAAUCAGAUUGAUGUGUUAUGGACUACAUUUUAAUUUGAAGACAUAUGUGAGACUAAUUUCAAUUGUACUAUUCAGGGAUUGUGUUUUUUUGCGCCCUUAUGUAUAGUGUGAAAUUGUGAUAAAGCUUUAUUUUAAUGGUGAGGCGCCGCUAAUAGUUUUUUACGGUUGCAGACGACAGAAUGGGGCGUGGUCCAAAUGGGCGGCAGUAAAUCAGUCACGCCACGGUCAAAACAUUGGGGUGAAAAAAAAAUGUUCUUCACAAUCCCACCAUCGGAUGCGCACCGGUUGACAUCAAACAUGGAGAACAUGCAUAUAAUUUAGUUAUAAUGCAAAUAUGUUUAUUCUACUGCAAACAAGAGAUGUAGUUUACCGGUAUCUUUGAAGUAUUUUAUACCCGCGCAUUAAACCGCAAGGGACAGAGAGAGGAUCCAUUGAAUCUUGAGGAGCAGCCAAGAAUACAAUAGGAUGGAGACAGUAUGUGGUAAAGGAGCGACAUUGGAUGGUGACAUGCUGAUGGUCAUCGUUAAACAAGAGGAAGAAGACCAUAUGGAGCAGAUGUCCAAUGGUCCACUGUCAUCUGACACGCUCAUCAAACAGGAGCAAGAGGGCCUAGAACAAGGCACUACAGCUCCAGGCGACCAACUCCCUGAGGAAACCGACACCCUGGAAGAAGCAGAGGAGGAGAAAAAGAGGAGGAAGGGAAAGACCGAAGAGAGGUUCUGGUCUGCUGUUGAGACUGAGGAUGUCUCUGGGUCAGACUCCAGUUGGUGCUGCAGACUGUGUCAGCGCUGCUUCAGUUCCUCCUGGCAGCUGACGGGACACUGUUGUACUGGCAUCGCGGGGGAGGACGGGGUCGCCCACGGCCACAAGGUCAAACUGGAGUUCCGGUGCCCAGUGUGUGGCGACCGCUUCCUCCGCCCCACAGCCUUCAUCAUGCACAAGCGCAGUCACAUGGGCCAGUCCCAGUACGUCUGUGGGGUCUGUGGACGGACGCUCAAGAGCCUACGCAAGCUGUCCUCUCACAAGCGCUCACACUCCCGCCGCCGCGGGACUGUGGCUGAACGACAGCAGUGCCAUGACUGCAGCCAGAGCUUCUGCAACUUGACGGCACUCAGAAGCCACCGGGAGAGACAGCAUGGAGAGGAGAGGAACUGUAAGGAUGAGGAGGACAGUGAGGUGAGAGAGGAAGAGGAGGGAAGCACUGCAGUAAUCUCUAAUGAUUCAACCAGAGUUUCAGCCCAGCCUCCCCAAUCUCCUCAGUGCCACCAGUGUUUCAUGACCUUUCAGGAUGCAGAGACAGAAGAGAGGCAUUUACGCUUCAAGCACCCAGUAGAGUAUGAGAGACAUCUCAGAGGUCGCACAGUGUUUGCCUGCUGUGUCUGCGACCGUACAUUCCCCUCCUCCCGCCUGCUCUCAGCUCACCAACGCACCCACAGCAAGUGGAGUCUGCCCCCCACUGUCCCAGAAGACUCUGUCCAAGAAAGCACAGACGGAGGAGAGUCUGAGGGUGUGGACAAUGAAAAAAACAGAGCUGGUCCAACAAGCUGUGAGCACUGUCACAUCAUCUUCAAUGACCCUCGAACCUGGGAACGUCACAUGACGGCCAAGCACCCCCCAUCCCUGUCGACACCUACUUCACCAGGGAAUGCCUACCUGACUUCUAGACCUGCCAGGGGUCAACUACGACCCUAUCGCUGCUCCUCCUGUGGAGAGAGAUUCAUACAGGAAAGCACCCUGACCAAACACUGCACAGAGGCACACGCCAGCUGAGAGAGGAUGGUUCUGGGAGCAUAGAUACCAAGAUGAAGAGGACAAGAGAGAAUAUGUCUAGAUCAAUUAGUUGGAGGACAUGGUGCUGCUGAUCCAGGAUUUGUAGUUGCAGACCUUGGUGUAGACACCAGGCUUGUUCCUCUGGGCACAGCCGUAACCCCAGGACACAACACCCUGCAGCUGACCAUUGCACACCACGGGGCCACCGGAGUCUCCCUAAUAGAGCGAUGGGGAAACAGAAAUUAAAGUCGCUGUCCUCAUUGAGGAUAACAGGAUUUUCGGAGGGUAUGAGUGCAGAAAGAACUCUGCAUCCUACCAGGCAUCACUGCAGUCUGGUUACCACUUCUGUGGUGGCUCCCUGAUCUCCAGCACAUGGGUGGUGUCUGCUGCUCACUGCUACAAGUCAUAUGUGACUGAUGAACAUUUCUUCAAAAACAUUGACAGUAUGUUUGACAUUAAACCUUUUUUGUACAUCUGAUUAACCCUCCCAGCCACAUUCAGGUGUGUCUACGUGACCACACAACAUUGUCGUCAACGAGGGCACUGAGCAGUUCGACUCAGGGAAGGUCAUCAUGCACCCCAGUUACAACAGCCGCAACCUGGACAACGACGUCAAGCUGAGCAUGCCCGCCUCCCUGAACAGCUACAUGUGCACUGUGGUCAUGCCCUGCCGCUGUGCCAGCUCUGGCACCCACUGUAUGGGGCAACCUACCCAGCAGAGCCUUCUACCCCGACCAACUGUUCUGCCUGGAUCUCCCCAUCCUGAGCAGCGGCAACAGCACCUACCAUGGACAGAUCAACUCCACAUGUUCUGCGCUGGCUUCGUGGAUGGAGGCAAGGACUCUUGCCAGGGAGACCGUGGUGUGCAAUGGGCAGCUGCAGGGUGCUGUGUCCUGGGGUUACAGUUGUGCCCAGACUAAGAUCUGCAACUCCUGGAUAAGCAGCACCAUGUCCUCCAACUAAUUGAUUUAGACUGGAAGAGACCCAUGAUAACUGGUAUGAGAAAAUAAAAACACCAUUCUUUAAAGUGCAUUACUAUGAGUGCAAUAUGUGCUUUUAGGAAAGUAUGAAACAGGUAUCUGGCUAGUGCUUAUUAUGUCUAACUUGUAAAGCAAGAGUUGCAGACAACAGCUCAAUCUGUUCAAUGCCAAUUGUGCACUGUUAGCUGGUGAGCCGUUUCCUGGAAACUUAAUGAUAUGAGAAUGAACAAUUGUCAGUGGAAAUAUGAUAACACAUGAACUAGAAACUGCAAUAGACACGAGUAGAACAUGCUUUGGUUUCUCUUCAUAGGUUAAUUCAUGGAAAUUACACAAAUGUAGUCUUUCAGUUGUACAGAAAACAUUUUAAAAUGUAGAAUGUUGACAAUAUGCAUACAAUGAACCUAAAUGUGGAGCAUUCCAAUUGUGUAGCUAUUUAGCUAAGACAUAAUGAAUAAAGGUUUGUGUUCGUUU